ACCGGCGCACGGGUGCGUAACGCGUAUGCAAUCUACCUUGUACAGGGGGAUAGCCCAGAGAAAUUUGGAUUAAUACCCCAUAGUAUCUUUUGAAGGCAUCUUCAAAUUAUUAAAGUUCCAACGGUACAAGAUGAGCAUGCGUCCCAUUAGUUAGUUGGUGUGGUAACGGCACACCAAGACGAUGAUGGGUAGGGGUCCUGAGAGGGAGAUCCCCCACACUGGUACUGAGACACGGACCAGACUCCUACGGGAGGCAGCAGUGAGGAAUAUUGGGCAAUGGAGGCAACUCUGACCCAGCCAUGCCGCGUGCAGGAAGACGGCCCUAUGGGUUGUAAACUGCUUUUGUACGGGAAGAAGCACUCCUACGUGUAGGAGCUUGACGGUACCGUAAGAAUAAGGAUCGGCUAACUCCGUGCCAGCAGCCGCGGUAAUACGGAGGAUCCAAGCGUUAUCCGGAAUCAUUGGGUUUAAAGGGUCCGUAGGCGGCCUUAUAAGUCAGUGGUGAAAUCUCCUAGCUCAACUAGGAAACUGCCAUUGAUACUGUAGGGCUUGAAUUUUUGUGAAGUAACUAGAAUAUGUAGUGUAGCGGUGAAAUGCUUACAUAUUACAUGGAAUACCAAUUGUGAAGGCAGGUUACUAACAAACGAUUGACGCUGAUGGACGAAAGCGUGGGGAGCGAACAAGAUUAGAUACCCUGGUAGUCCAC
RNAcentral lists this ribosomal RNA (706 nucleotides) under uncultured marine bacterium. RNAcentral's name for it is "bacterial SSU rRNA". It matches the Rfam family "Bacterial small subunit ribosomal RNA", at positions 94 to 798 of the family's 1533-position model. The record is from RNAcentral.